This 73-nucleotide transfer RNA is filed under the name Escherichia coli. RNAcentral describes it as "tRNA-Pro". It matches the Rfam family "tRNA". Rfam says of the family: Transfer RNA (tRNA) molecules are approximately 80 nucleotides in length. Their secondary structure includes four short double-helical elements and three loops (D, anti-codon, and T loops). Further hydrogen bonds mediate the characteristic L-shaped molecular structure. tRNAs have two regions of fundamental functional importance: the anti-codon, which is responsible for specific mRNA codon recognition, and the 3' end, to which the tRNAs corresponding amino acid is attached (by aminoacyl-tRNA synthetases). tRNAs cope with the degeneracy of the genetic code in two manners: having more than one tRNA (with a specific anti-codon) for a particular amino acid; and 'wobble' base-pairing, i.e. permitting non-standard base-pairing at the 3rd anti-codon position. Lineage: Bacteria; Pseudomonadati; Pseudomonadota; Gammaproteobacteria; Enterobacterales; Enterobacteriaceae. The record is from RNAcentral. RNAcentral also lists the same sequence under 8 other names.
GCUCCUUUAGUUUCAAUAUGGUAGAACGGCUAUCUUCGGAUGGACGGCUUGGGUUCGAAUCCCGAAAGGAGCC